RNAcentral lists this ribosomal RNA (479 nucleotides) under uncultured Luteibacter sp. RNAcentral's name for it is "bacterial SSU rRNA". It matches the Rfam family "Bacterial small subunit ribosomal RNA", at positions 39 to 507 of the family's 1533-position model. The record is from RNAcentral. Lineage: Bacteria; Pseudomonadati; Pseudomonadota; Gammaproteobacteria; Lysobacterales; Rhodanobacteraceae.
GCGGCAUGCUUAACACAUGCAAGUCGAACGGCAGCACAGCAGAGCUUGCUCUGUGGGUGGCGAGUGGCGGACGGGUGAGUAAUGCAUCGGGACCUACCCAACUGUGGGGGAUAACGUAGGGAAACUUACGCUAAUACCGCAUACGUCCUACGGGAGAAAGCGGGGGACCUUCGGGCCUCGCGCGGUUGGAUGGACCGAUGUGCGAUUAGUUUGUUGGUGAGGUAAUGGCUCACCAAGGCGACGAUCGCUAGCUGGUCUGAGAGGAUGAUCAGCCACACUGGGACUGAGACACGGCCCAGACUCCUACGGGAGGCAGCAGUGGGGAAUAUUGGACAAUGGGCGCAAGCCUGAUCCAGCAAUGCCGCGUGUGUGAAGAAGGCCUUCGGGUUGUAAAGCACUUUUAUCAGGAGCGAAAUCUGCAGGGCUAAUACCCAUGCAGUCUGACGGUACCUGAGGAAUAAGCGCCGGCUAACUCCGUG